AUGCUUGUUUUAGCAGCAUAUGUACUGAAAUUGGAACCAUACAGAGAGAAGAGUAGCAUGGCCCCCGCACAAGGAUGACAUGCAAAUUCAUGAAGCGUUCCAUCCUGCA
Small nuclear RNA from Hyaena hyaena (striped hyena), 109 nucleotides. The record is from RefSeq and is a predicted model, not a curated record. Lineage: Eukaryota; Metazoa; Chordata; Mammalia; Carnivora; Hyaenidae.